This 2217-nucleotide long non-coding RNA is filed under the name Homo sapiens (human). RNAcentral's name for it is "long independently transcribed non-coding RNA 2331, transcript variant 10 (LINC02331)". The record is from RNAcentral. Lineage: Eukaryota; Metazoa; Chordata; Mammalia; Primates; Hominidae.
AUUUAGAGGGACUCUCUAACCUGAGUACACAUUUGAAACAUCUGAGGGCUUUGAAACAUACCUGCUCCUGGACCACCUGCUGAACCAAUUAAAUCAGAAUUUCUGUUGUGAAGAUCUCCACGUGAGUUUAAGCUUUCCUGCUCAACUGUUAGUUCCAUGAAGGCAACAGCCAUGCCUGCUUCGUUCACUGAAAUAUCUUCGUUUCCUAACACACAGAAAGUCAUCAUUUUUUGACGGAUGAAAGAAUGGAUGAAUGCCUAGUCUUGGAGACAUCUACUUGCAAUAAAGGUGAAGAAACAGAGGCAAAGGGAGCAUAAGCAAUUUUCCAAAGGCCAUACAACAUGCUAAAAGCUUCAUAGAAACCUAAAGGAGUUAGAGAAGGAAGAUCUCUCAAUGGAAAUGCUAAGAAGAGACACAAGGAAAGACACAUCACUAAGGAGAGACCCAAGGAAAAUGGCUCUAUGACUACAGUCCAUUUAAAGAAUGAGGGCGUUCCUUCUACCAAGUUACAGGUGGAGAUGUGUUUACCUGCUGGAUACCAAUGCUUCUAGCAUCAGGGAGAAGUUGAGCCCUGGAGGAAACAUUGCCUCUAAGUUUGUGUUCUGGUGCUACAUACUGCAAAGCAAAGUAUCUACAACAACUGCAAUAAGCCACCCUGAUCAUUCUUCAACCUAAAGAUUUGCAACUCAUCCAAGUUCAACUGGUUGAAAGAGCCUGCCUCCUCACAGCAGUGCCUGAUUGACACUAUGAACUGAAAUACUAAAGGCACUUCUUCUUUCAGGAUAACUGAUUAAAUGUUCUGGCUGGUAAAGCAGGUCAUCACUCAACUGUUGUGGCUUUGGCAAGAUGCCACCAAAGCAGCCCAUCAUGGUUGGCAGAGAUGUAAAGGCCCCACAUAUUACAGAACACCCUUUGAUAUGCAGACUAAUUAAUAGAAGACCUAAGCCUUUCAAGGGACUUCUAUACCAUAGGAUGUUAGGAGACAUCAAGAACACAAAUGAAACUAAGAUUUUCAUACAGGGUUCAGGUUUUGUUACUUCAGAUCUAUAAUCUAAAGUUCUGUAAUCAUCACAUCACUCCAAGAACAAAAUUUGAUAGGCAAAAUUCUUCACACUCAUUUCAUGGAGAACCUUGAGGGUCCAGAGUGAGGCUUGAUGGCAAGCAGGAGCUCCCUGUCCCCUGUCUCCACCCAUGCAACCCCUAGCUCCCCCAUUGUUUUCACUCUAGAUUUGUGAAGUAUAACAACCUUAAAAUCUUAAGAUUUAAUCUUUAAAUAUUAAGAGAUUUGGGUUUCUGUAUCAACAAUCUUUAAAUAUUAAGAGAUUUUUCCGAAGAUUAAUGACUUUCCUAGAGUUGGCCUACAAAUUCACCACCUCAACUGGAUGACUUGCUUUGGAAUAAAUUUCUAACACCGCAAGUGAAUUGAAUAUUUUCUUCCUUUUUUAUGUAAUCUAAUAUAGUACAUUUUUAAAAAUUUAUAGGAUGUCCAGACACUUAUAGCUUAUCAUUCUAUGAUUCAAAAGAAUUUGGUAUAAUUGCAUUGAUAAGCUUACUGCCCUGGGCACCAAAGUAACCUAGAAUAUGGAGAAGUAGCUUUUGGUGACAUGCAUCUAUUUAUAUCUCUAGCAUUUACUAAUUAAUUAAUUUGUUUAACAAAUACACAUUCAGUACCAUUAUAUGUUUGGCAUUGUCAUAGAUGUUAGAAAAUCAAAUAUAAAAAAGAGGUAAUUUCUUCACAACACACGGAAAUAAGAGUAUCUCUAGGAAUUGUCUCUAGUUGAAAUUGUUUUCUCCUACCCACCUCUACGAUUCAUCAAUUUAGCUUUCCUUCACUGUAGUGACAGGUGUUUUAAUCUCACCUAACAAUAUGCCUGAUUAAGCUUCAACAUACACAGAGAGAGGCCUGAAAAACAUAACUUGGUCUCUAUGUCUAAGUUUAUGUUGUUAGUAAUAGUUAUAAGAGCCACAGCGAUGGCACCAUGGCGUUACCUUCUCUGAAGGCUUUCCCAGCUUUCCUAGCAAAGCUCUUUUCUCUUCCCUCUGGUUAAAAAAUAAAUAAAAAAAAAAUAAAGGUUUUUCCUUUAUUGUUAUUCUUAUGUGUCUGAUUUUAUCACAUUUAUUGUUUUGUUUUCUGAUUGUAUAAGUCAUACAUGCUCAUUUAGAAAACUUGGAAACUAUGGAAAAAGAGAAAUAAAAAAUAAAAUCCACUCUAAUCUA